This 1371-nucleotide ribosomal RNA is filed under the name uncultured bacterium. RNAcentral describes it as "bacterial SSU rRNA". It matches the Rfam family "Bacterial small subunit ribosomal RNA", at positions 28 to 1381 of the family's 1533-position model. The record is from RNAcentral.
GAUGAACGCUGGCGGCGUGCCUAAUACAUGCAAGUCGAGCGAACGGACGAGAAGCUUGCUUCUCUGAUGUUAGCGGCGGACGGGUGAGUAACACGUGGAUAACCUACCUAUAAGACUGGGAUAACUUCGGGAAACCGGAGCUAAUACCGGAUAAUAUUUUGAACCGCAUGGUUCAAAAGUGAAAGACGGUCUUGCUGUCACUUAUAGAUGGAUCCGCGCUGCAUUAGCUAGUUGGUAAGGUAACGGCUUACCAAGGCAACGAUGCAUAGCCGACCUGAGAGGGUGAUCGGCCACACUGGAACUGAGACACGGUCCAGACUCCUACGGGAGGCAGCAGUAGGGAAUCUUCCGCAAUGGGCGAAAGCCUGACGGAGCAACGCCGCGUGAGUGAUGAAGGUCUUCGGAUCGUAAAACUCUGUUAUUAGGGAAGAACAUAUGUGUAAGUAACUGUGCACAUCUUGACGGUACCUAAUCAGAAAGCCACGGCUAACUACGCGCCAGCAGCCGCGGUAAUACGUANGUGGCAAGCGUUAUCCGGAAUUUAUGGGCGUAAAGCGCGCGUAGGCGGUUUUUUAGUCUGAUGUGAAAGCCCACGGCUCAACCGUGGAGGGUCAUUGGAAACUGGAAAACUUGAGUGCAGAAGAGGAAAGUGGAAUUCCAUGUGUAGCGGUGAAAUGCGCAGAGAUAUGGAGGAACACCAGUGGCGAAGGCGACUUUCUGGUCUGUAACUGACGCUGAUGUGCGAAAGCGUGGGGAUCAAACAGGAUUAGAUACCCUGGUAGUCCACGCCGUAAACGAUGAGUGCUAAGUGUUAGGGGGUUUCCGCCCCUUAGUGCUGCAGCUAACGCAUUAAGCACUCCGCCUGGGGAGUACGACCGCAAGGUUGAAACUCAAAGGAAUUGACGGGGACCCGCACAAGCGGUGGAGCAUGUGGUUUAAUUCGAAGCAACGCGAAGAACCUUACCAAAUCUUGACAUCCUUUGACAACUCUAGAGAUAGAGCCUUCCCCUUCGGGGGACAAAGUGACAGGUGGUGCAUGGUUGUCGUCAGCUCGUGUCGUGAGAUGUUGGGUUAAGUCCCGCAACGAGCGCAACCCUUAAGCUUAGUUGCCAUCAUUAAGUUGGGCACUCUAAGUUGACUGCCGGUGACAAACCGGAGGAAGGUGGGGAUGACGUCAAAUCAUCAUGCCCCUUACGAUUUGGGCUACACACGUGCUACAAUGGACAAUACAAAGGGCAGCGAAACCGCGAGGUCAAGCAAAUCCCAUAAAGUUGUUCUCAGUUCGGAUUGUAGUCUGCAACUCGACUACAUGAAGCUGGAAUCGCUAGUAAUCGUAGAUCAGCAUGCUACGGUGAAUACGUUCCCGGGUCU